This 173-nucleotide ribosomal RNA is filed under the name uncultured bacterium. RNAcentral describes it as "partial 16S ribosomal RNA". It matches the Rfam family "Bacterial small subunit ribosomal RNA", at positions 1320 to 1500 of the family's 1533-position model. The record is from RNAcentral.
AUGAAGCUGGAUUCGCUAGUAAUCGCGCAUCAGCCACGGCGCGGUGAAUACGUUCCCGGGCCUUGUACACACCGCCCGUCAGGCCAUGGAAGCCGGGGGUGCCUGAAGUGCGUGACCGCAAGGAGCGCCCUAGGGUAAAACCGGUGACUGGGGCUAAGUCGUAACAAGGUAGC